GAUGAACGCUAGCGGCAGGCUUAACACAUGCAAGUCGAGGGGCAUCAGCCGAUGUAGCAAUACAUUGGUGUUGGCGACCGGCGUAAGGGUGCGUAACGCGUGAGCAACAUGCCCGCAACAGGCGGAUAGACCGUGGAAACGCGGCGUAAACCGCCAUAGGACCAGUAGCAGCAUUGCAACAGGUUGAAAUCUUCGGAGGUUGCGGAUUGGCUCGCGUAACAUUAGUUAGUUGGUGAGGUAACGGCUCACCUAGGCAAUGAUAGGUAGGCGGCCUUAACGGGUGGUCGCCCACACUGGGAUUGAGAUACGGCCCAGACUCCUACGGGAGGCAGCAGUCGAGAAUAGUCUACAAUGGACGAAAGUCUGAUAGUGCGACGCCGCGUGAACGAAGAAUCCUUUCGGGGUUAAAGUUCUUUUCUAUGUGAGCAGUUCCUUUUAUAUGAAGAGUAUAGGAGGCGGGAUUUAAGCAAUAGGAAUAAGCAACGGCUAACUCCGUG
This 497-nucleotide ribosomal RNA is filed under the name uncultured bacterium. RNAcentral describes it as "bacterial SSU rRNA". It matches the Rfam family "Bacterial small subunit ribosomal RNA", at positions 28 to 507 of the family's 1533-position model. The record is from RNAcentral.